This 304-nucleotide long non-coding RNA is filed under the name Cavia porcellus (domestic guinea pig). RNAcentral's name for it is "lncRNA (ENSCPOG00000032842.1)". Lineage: Eukaryota; Metazoa; Chordata; Mammalia; Rodentia; Caviidae. The record is from RNAcentral.
UGGUUUCCUUGUGUUGUAAAGUUUGUGAAGAUAUUUAAACAAAUCAACAUUUGGGGUUUUUUACUUUUUUUUUUUUUUCUCAGACCAACUCAACUCCUGCUGGAAUCCAGACACUCACAGAACCUUUCCUGGCUUAUUUUGGCAAGAAGAUGACUGUGGAGAAGAAGAUGGAAUGUUUUCCGGAGAGCACGAGGAUGGACUGCUCAGGGGACCUGCUCACCUGGCUGUGCACCCACAGACCCAAGAACCAAGCAGCCAGCCUGAGUCCCAGGCUUAGCUGUUCAAGUGGCCAGACCUACUGGUU